RNAcentral lists this ribosomal RNA (403 nucleotides) under Fusobacteriota bacterium. RNAcentral's name for it is "Fusobacteria bacterium partial 16S ribosomal RNA". It matches the Rfam family "Bacterial small subunit ribosomal RNA", at positions 355 to 776 of the family's 1533-position model. Lineage: Bacteria; Fusobacteriati; Fusobacteriota. The record is from RNAcentral.
UGGGGAAUAUUGCACAAUGGGGGAAACCCUGAUGCAGCGACGCCGCGUGAGCGAAGAAGGUUUUCGAAUCGUAAAGCUCUGUCCUAUGGGAAGAUAAUGACGGUACCAUAGGAGGAAGCCCCGGCUAACUACGUGCCAGCAGCCGCGGUAAUACGUAGGGGGCAAGCGUUGUCCGGAAUCACUGGGCGUAAAGGGCUCGCAGGCGGAAAUGCAAGUCAGUUGUGAAAGGCAGAGGCUCAACCUCUGUAAGCAAUUGAAACUGUAUUUCUUGAGAUGUGGAGAGGCAAGUGGAAUUCCUAGUGUAGCGGUGAAAUGCGUAGAUAUUAGGAAGAAUACCGGUGGCGAAGGCGACUUGCUGGACACAAACUGACGCUGAGGAACGAAAGCGUGGGUAGCAAACAGG